UGUGUGAGCGAGUGGUUGCUGUUUACGAUGUGUUCAUAUAUCGCUUUGUAGUGCUGUAAUGUGCAAAUUAGCGGACUUUAUAGCGGCUCUCUAUUUUCCGUCGUUGUCUUUCGAGCAGCGCCUGUUGUUCCGGUAAAAAUCGAGUUGAAUGAAUCGCCACAGCCCCAACGUAUAUCGCGCAGUGUUGACCAAGACCAAGUCAAGCAGGAAUUCUGGCAUGGUAUGUGGCUGCACGAAGGAUUCCGGAAAAGAAAAACAACAACAUGGCUAAUAGGAUGUUGCUGCCCAGGGAGUCCUGGCGAAGAGGUUUACUCAUUCCAGAAGCAAGAAUUGUAUCAUUGUAAGGCGAAUGGAAAUAAACUGACAUCGACUGAGA
This is a long non-coding RNA of Ornithodoros turicata, 376 nucleotides long. RefSeq lists it as uncharacterized. The record is from RefSeq and is a predicted model, not a curated record. The transcript has 3 exons. NCBI's taxonomy places the organism in Eukaryota, Metazoa, Arthropoda, Arachnida, Ixodida, Argasidae.